AUGCUGUAAGUCAGUCGAGUGUAUUUAACGUAUCCGUGUUUCUCUGCUUGCAUGAAAUUAAAUGUCAUGUUUUCACCUCCUGCAGGUUUUCUAUUGACUGUGGACGAUACUCAGACUCUCUCAGGCCCUGUGUGCGUCACAUUUCCUCAUUUAUGUCUGUUUAAGCUCUAAUUCACACGCACUGAGGUCACACGCUCGGUUUGGAGCAUAAAAGAGCAGCAGGACGACCAACACGAGCCACACACACUCCUGAAGGCUGCUGGGAGAGGCACGGGAGGGUGUCUCUGUCUGGACCCGCUUCGCCGUGGGUCUUCAGUCCAGCAUUGCACAACAGCGGCAGCAGAUUUGGAGGGCGUUUGGCUCGGCUCAUCGGCUCUGAACGAGCGGCACCGCGGUGGCUCUGAUUGGCUGCCCGGAUACAUAAACAUCCAUUGAGCGUGCCUUCAGGUGACGGAGAGGUUUAAGACUUGAUGGCGUCCUGUCCUCCGCCCUGAAGCUCGCCGUCUCUCCGAGCUGCAGCACCGGACGAAUGAAAUUCAGUGUUAACGACCUGUGAUGAACUUUGUUUAGCAGCGACCCGAUCGGUGACCCUUUACACUCCAGCUCCGCGGCACGUUAGAUGCCACUUAGAAGGCCGCUGACCAGAAUGACCCUCGGUGCGGACGCACACCUCCAGAACACACCAUCUGACGCCCGCGCAGAGGGGGACUCAGGAUGAAGCCCAAAGCAUUUUUCUACGGAUUUAGAAGCCCCGACACUUCAAGUCAGUGAAGUUCUAAUCUAAGAGUUUAACUGUUCAAUUAUCAUUUAAUGACGAUGGUUAAUUCCCCUAUAAAAUGUCACCAUAAUAAUAAUAAUGAUAACGAAAGUUCUGAACUGUUUGGAUUUUGUCUAGUAAUAAAGGUAAAGAUCAAUCUGUAAGUUUGGAUGAUUUACAUCCAAAUAAUCAAAGUUAGUUUCUAAUUAUAGUGGGAAAAAGAAAGAAAUCAUUAUCCAGUGAAUCAGUGUAACAACAAUAAUAAUAAUCAUACUGUAGUAACAGUUUUGGGUUUUUUCAUGUUUCUUGUUCAGUUUAUGAGAUCAUCACUUCUCGUUUGUUGGUUUCACUUUUGCGGCUCUUUGAUGUUUUUAAUUUGGCCGAUCAUUCGAUCUGAGCUCCAGAUUG
Molecule: long non-coding RNA, 1165 nt
Organism: Oreochromis aureus
Lineage: Eukaryota; Metazoa; Chordata; Actinopteri; Cichliformes; Cichlidae
Exons: 3
Source: RefSeq, a predicted model, not a curated record